CCUUGUCCUUUUCCCAGCAGAGCGCAGCAUGGCAGCCUGGGCUUUUAUAUGUGCAUGUAAUCUUGUGCCCACAUGGGUAUAUACUCUUGUUUUCAGCUUUGUACUUUUAUUUUGGAUAAACCCAGUGGGCAGAGGCCCCUGUGCCCUGCUGGGCUGGCCCAGCCCUGCGGCACCCUUCCCACCCGAGGGCCGUGGCGCUCUGCCUGCCAUGGUGGCACCCAGGUCCCUCUGUGUUUCUGCUUUCUGCCACCCCUGAGAACCUCAGCUGCUUCCCCACAGGUCGCCAUCGCAGGCUAUGGCUGAAGUGAAUCCCCACAGGGCAAACCCACUUGGGCAGGGCUUCGCUGCCAGGCAGGGCUGCCCACACACCAAGCUCUUACUGAACAGCCCAGCAGUGAGUGAGAGAGGCUGUGGCACAGGCACCACAGAAGGUGCCAGGUGCUCUGAUGACCACACAUGAGGCCCAUUAUGCUGGAUUAAUUAAUGCAGAAGGUCAGUGUAGGACACUAAGUGUUGAUGGGGAGGACUCGUGAUGUCCUGGGCCCUGCCCGGGCCAGGAGAGGCUCCAAGGAGUGGCUCAUCAGGUGGCACAGAAAUGCUGAAGUGAUACACACUGACAAUUUGGACACUUUUUCAAGUUGAGAAAUUAAUCAAAACCAACAUUUUCCUGCAAAGGUUUCAUUUUCAACCAAGCAGGCCUCUUCUGAUUAAAGAAGUUGCAUAAAAAUUCUUAUUCAUCUCUGCGCAGGAGCACUGCUGUAGCUGUUGGGGACUAAGGGACAGAGGUAUUACCACCACCCACUUCAUACCCUGCACUAAGGAGAGUCCAGUUAUUGUUUUUCCAUUAAAUUGCAUAAGGACGUUUUUUGAAGGCACUUCAAUGUUUUAACUGUACUGUGCAGGAGAGAAGAGUUGAGGCAACAGGCUUAUGGCUGCCUUAUCAGGUACAGAAACUGUUCCUUUAAAAUGGAUUUAAUAAAAUGCAAAUGUUCUGGAUCUUUGCAAUUUUUUAACCUGACAAACAAGCUAUUUGCAUGAGUAGUAGGAUAUAUUGUUUAUGCCACUUUCUUCCUCUCCCUUGAAAGUUACGGAUUACUCCAUCAGCUGCCAGCUGUUAUUUGUAAUAGCCAGCUGUGUAACUACAAAGGUCCUGCAAUGAAAAAAAUUUAUAAGAAUGUUGCAUCGAUACAACAAGAUACAGAAAAGGAAAAAAAAAAUCAAUUAACUUGUCCUCAAAAUAUUAACUUCCGUAAGAUAAAUGACCCUUGACUUUCAAUGCAGGACAAAUUAAAAACUUUCCCAUAUAUAAAACAAAUUUCUAUUUUCAUCAUUAGGUCAGUAAUUAAUUUUACAGGCAAAGUAAAAGUCUGAUGCAAAUGAACACUCAAGUCUUAAAAUCAAUAACGUGUUUAAGGAAACCACAGUGACACAUACAUGGUGUGACAUUCAGUACAGCCAUUUAGUGCUAUUUGUGUCAGAUCUGUACAUUGUAUACUUGAAGGCAACAUGCCUUCAAAUGUACACUCUCUAUAUAAAUAACUACAAAAAAAAUUUAAAAUGUCUCAAAAAUUAGAUAAACAUCUGAAACUUUCAGUUAAUGUAACUCAUACUAUUUUACCACAACAUAAUUAAUUAUAUAAUACAAUUCUUCUCAGAAAUUAACUAGCAAAUGGCAUUUCUCACUACUCCCAUAUUUCAGCUCCCUGUGAGUGACCAGUAGCACAAACAAUAGCAACAAUUUCUAUUCAGCUGAGAGAAAAUUUAGAACUCAAUUGCUUUGUACACUAUUUUAGUCUCUGCAAUUGCAAGCAUCAACUGUUUUUUUUUUUUCCCCACACAGUAUCACUCCUAUAAUGUUCUUUCCAAGCAAGUGUCGUGACCUUAUAUAUACACACACAGAACAAAGUCAGUUCCCUUGGCACUUGUCCAGGAAAGGAACUACACAUUUCAGAACAUUCAGCAGGUGGAAAAUGACGUCACGUUCCCUACAAGCAUUUGCCAGCAUUAUGCUGAACCUGUAACACUAAACAGUUGGUUAAAGUAAUCAGGGAUCACUGUUUUUAACCCAGGCUUAGCCUGUCUAAUGAGAAAGAUGACAGCUAACACUCUGGAAAUAUUUUGCUGUCAUGCCAGUGACAAAAAUUCCACAACCUAUGACUCCUUUAAAGUCCUACUAAUAAUAUGUAAUGCCUCUAUUUGCCUCCUGAUAGAGUGAUAUUUAAGAACUCUAUUUUCAAAGACUUACUUAUUUUUAAAUGACCACCAGGACUGCCAUCAAUGGAAAUAUCAUAUAGGUCGAGCAAAAAACAAUUACUUGGGUAAUUAUAUGCCAAAUAGCAUUUCCAGGUUUCUUUAACAGUGGAUUAGAAAGACCUUGAGAGGACUAAGGAAGCACCAAAAUCAGCUCCAAGACAUCUAUGGUUUCUUAUCCAGAAUUCUCUUCUACAAAGUUUAGCUGGAUCAGACUCUGUUUCACCAUUUUGUAUUAACAGAUAUGACUGCAGGAUAAUUUUCUAAAAAACAGAGUAGGUACCCACAUCUAUAUUACCAUAUUCCAAAUUAUGACUACAACAUUAUUUCACAGACACAAAGGAUUAGAACAUUCAUAAUACUGCAUCUGAUUUAAAGCACUUGCAUUCAUAAAGAAAUUUGUUCCAAGAAGUUUCAGUUUAGCUUACUUGUCAUCAUAAUGCCAAGGCAAAAAAGAGUUCACAAUUUCAACCCAGAAGAAAUCACUAUCAGCUGUUUCUCUCUAACAAAUCUAAGUUUCUUAGGUACACAUUUCAAGGACAGGCUUUGUUUAAAGAGCUCCAUUUAUUUGAAAGUCUGUUUCCUGCUAACCAGCUGACAGAUCAAAGGUACUUCUCAGUCCUAACAUUUGUUCCCAUUUCCCCCUCUUCUUUAACUUACACAAAAUUUUAAAUUCAGUAUCUUUAAAAUUAGUUUUAAAAUUGAUCCUUUCAGCCUUCUCAGUCGUCUUCUCCUUUUUUUAUGUUCCACAAAGUUUUCCUGUGACACUUCUCAAAUACUGGAAUAUAUGCCACUGAAGUAUUAGUUACAUGAAAUUAAGGACAGGUAAAAGUCUCCGAUUAAAGAAUGCUAAAAUGCAAGCUUCUCAGAGCCUGAACCUUUUAAGUACUUUGUAAAAUACACACGGUUUUAUAAAUUAUUGUGCACAUAAAGUGGGACAAUUUAAUAUCUAAAAGAUGCUUUUAUAUUCAAACAUGGUACAUUGUAUGAAUUAAACAUUGUUUAAUAUACUUUCACUUUUGCAACUGCUCAACUUUUUUGCUUCCACAUAUGGGUAUUCUAUUCCUAUCAAUUCAUUAUCUCAGUGAUAUGUAAAAAGAAUAAAUUCAAAAAAGACAAAAUAAAAUAUAGUGACCUACAGUUAAAUCAGCUACAAUGCAAUAUGCUUAGAUAAACAAUGUCAGUACUUGACUUUAUACAAUGUACUCACCUGUUCUCAGUUACUAGGGAAACAAUGAUCGUAAAAUUGAUCAUAGUUUGGUUUCACAAGUUUCUAACAUUGUAACUUGAUUACAGUCCAGGAUACAGAUCAAACACCUGGAACAAUGCAGCUGAGUAAAGAGACAUGCUAGGAAUAGACUUGCUUCCACUGUGUCCAAAUUAUUUUUUAUUCACAAGUUAAACAUAAUGACCUCAAUACUUCUCUACUUGCCUUUCCCAGUUUUGAAAACAAAUGCCAGCGUGGUUUCGGACCUCUCAACAUGAGAUUCUUAGAAAUCCCCAGAAGUUACAGAUUCUUAAGCAUCUUUUCCCAGACACGUCAGCACACGGUAGGUUUAAAAAAACCAAACAAAUCAAAACCAGAAAACCCCAAACUCUUUUCCUGUUUAAUUGUUUUAUUUCCAAAUCUAUUCCUGACUUGGUGAUUCCUAGGAAAUCACUUUUCUACGCUUAAUCUCAAUCUUACCAUAUCUACAGCAGACGAGUACUAGUAACACUGACUUGUGAAAGUACACUGACCUAAACAUACGCCUGAAAGCAGCAGAAUAUGUGAUGAGGUUGGGAACACAUAUGAAGAGCCAGAGGAACCUCAACUAUUCACUAACUUUUUAAAAACCCAAAUACCUCAUCUCAGAAAUACUGAGUUUUAUGAUGAAUGAAAUCUAUUCAGUGUGUUAAGAUGUUCAGAUGGACAGAAGGUGGAAGAGAGAGAGUGAUAUAUGCACUUCUGUGGAAUGUGGGCUGUAAGUGUGGUACACAAAAUGGAAUGAAACAUGCUGAGAUCUCAAGCCUCUAAACAACCAAGCAUCUGUACAGCUUUUGCACUGAUGCUGGUUUUGCACUUAACAGUAAUUAUCCAUAUACACUCUGCAGUUUCUGGACUAAACUCCCACAUACUGGUUAGCUGUGUUUGCUACCAGCCAGCUAAACGUGAGAAAUAAUGAGAAGUAGUAUGAACUGCCUUUGCAUUUGAUUCUUACAAUAUUAGGACACAAAACCAGGUCUCCAGUUCAUCAGUGUACUGCCCACUAUCAAUUAUCAUAUAAAAAUAAUUUGCCUCCUCUCUGAGUUAAUCUCCUCUCCCCUUCAAAUUUUCAUGCCUCUGAGUAAUUUUUAGUUUAUUUCUGGUCACUGUAGAAUAUUAUAGGACCAGCAAUGUUCUCCAAUAUAACAUUCUUGAUAUGAAAGUAAAUAAAAUGCAUGUCUCUAUUUCCCCCAACUGACACAGACCUUCAAUAUGUGGGUCUUCGGGUAGGUUGUGGACCACUGUUGAUCCAAGCAAAUUACAAUAGCUCAAUUAUUCAACUAUUUCUGUUUUCUAAGACAUCAUUCAUUCAUGAAGGUUUUUAAGGUCUUCAUGGUUUUUAAUCACUUUUAGGAUUCUUCCUCCUUAAAAACCAUUACACACUUAAUGUAAGUUAGGCAAAAAUAUUGUCUGCUAUGUUCAACAGCAAUAUAACAAAGGAAAUAGAAUCUCUGGAAUGAAAUAAUGCCUGUCUUACUGUUUAGUGUUACAAGGUUUUACAUUCCAUAAUCUACAUCAAGCAGCAUAAGAGAGAAAUGAUUAGCUCUUCAAAUAAUACUGCUCUUUCACAGGGAUUUUUUACAAUCAAAGUUUUUCUCUUAUAGUGGUUUUUCUCUUACAGAGUUAAGGAAUACAAUACUUCUACCUCAGGGACAAUUUAUUUCAGUGCUAAAGAAGAAGAGGACACGCCAUUCAGCCUAUGAGAGGUACCACUAUGACUAUCUGCAUGGAACCAAACAAAUGAAUCCAGAAUCCAUGCUAAAAAUUCUGCUGGUACAAAAUACCUGAGAAUCACAUGCUAGGAAGCUGUAGUAGCCUUUCCAGUGAUGUCCACCUCUACUUUUUUUUUUGGUUCAGAAACAAGCCACAUUAACACUGAUUUGUGUCUUACAAUGAAGUUUCCUGUACGCCAAAACCACUGCUUAUAUGUCAUAUCCCCACUAAUGCAGGCUGUUCUUUACAAAGUUAACUAAGAUAAAAUUAAAACUCUGAAUAUAAAA
Molecule: long non-coding RNA, 5496 nt
Organism: Pseudopipra pipra
Lineage: Eukaryota; Metazoa; Chordata; Aves; Passeriformes; Pipridae
Exons: 4
Source: RefSeq, a predicted model, not a curated record